GACGAACGCUGGCGGCGUGCCUAACACAUGCAAGUCGAACGGAAAGGCCCUGCUUUUGCGGGGUGCUCGAUUGGCGAACGGGGGAGUAACACGUGAGUAACCUGCCCUUGACAUUGUGAUAACUUUAGGAAACUGGGGCUAAUACAGGAUAGGAGCUCCUGCUGCAUGGUGGGGGUUGGAAAGUGUCGGCCGUUGUGGAUGGUCUCGCGGCUUAUCAGCUGGUUGGUGGGGUAGUGGCUUACCACGGCUUCGACGGGUAGCCGACCUGGGAGGUGGACCAGCCACAUUAGGACUGCGAGACGCCCCAGUCUCCUACGGGAGGCAGCGGUGGAGAGUAUUACACAGUGGGGGGGAGCCAGAUGCGGCAACGCCGCGUGCGGGAUGACGGCCUUCGGGUUGUGAACCGCUUUCGCCUUUGACGAGGCGUGAGUGACGGUAAUGGGUAAAGAAGCACCGGCUAACUACGCG
Molecule: ribosomal RNA, 468 nt
Filed under: uncultured bacterium
Lineage: Bacteria
Description: partial 16S ribosomal RNA
Rfam family: Bacterial small subunit ribosomal RNA
Source: RNAcentral